AUGGCAGAGCUUCAUCCUGCUGAUCUUGCACUCCCGCUACCGCCCACCACUACACAAGCAACACCUACCGAUUCUAUUUCUACGGCUGCCACAGAAAUAAGCAUCGAUCCCCAUGAAAUGCCCAAGUUUAAUGAGGAGAGGAGGAAGUGGGAAGCACGUGAUAGAGCAUGGGGCCAUUACUCCGACCUUCAACUCAAGAUGCAUAGGUUCCCUCCAUCCCUGCGGGGGUUCUGUGAAGGACGCAACUAUAUUGUGCCAAAGAUGGUAGCCAUAGGCCCUUACCACCGCCACCUCCCUGAGCUGCAAGCGAUGGAGAAGGUCAAGAAGAAGGCACCACUGUUCUUCUGCCAGGGCGCCUCCGUGGAGGCGUACGAGAAGAAUCUCGCCUACAUCUCAAGCGAGGUUCGAAGCUUCUAUGACGCUGACUCGCUCGAGGGCGUCAGCGACACUGAUUUUGCGUCCAUGAUGUUCCAUGAUGCUUGCUUCUUGCUGGCGACCAUACUUGCUAUGACGGUGCCUGAAGAAGCGCGCAAUCUGCCGUUCCUAUGUCUGGCCGCCGGCAACGCACCUGUCGUCAUGACAGACAUGUUUCUGCUGGAGAAUCAGAUCCCUUGGGUAGUGCUCGAGCGCCUCAUGGCAUUCAGAAAAAUUGGCUUGCCUGACUUGAGUGCGUUCAUUGCCAUGAUGGGAAUGAAUGUCCAAUCCCGAAUUGAUCGUGAGGCGAGGCCCUUGGACAUCAGGACCUAUGUGCCACCGCAUCUUCUUGGCCUCUUCCGUUUCUACCAAUCAGGCAACGUUAGGGACAGGCAGCCAGCUGCCAAACAGCCCGCACGGGAAGUGUUACUCGAAUUGGAAGUACCAGAGGUGAAAUAUCCAUGGAUUAUGACGAAAAUGCAGUCUGGAUCACCGUGGGAGACAGCCACUGCGGGAAGAGCGACUCUAACUGGAAGUACUGACACAGGGAAGCCGACCGGUGCCGCGCCGGCCGGUUCGGUACUAGAGAAAUUGCCGCUAGGCACAAGCGCCAUCGAACUCGCCGAAAUCGGCGUCAAGGUGACCGUCAGCAAGACAUCAGAGUUUCGGGAUAUAGGCGUCACGGAAGGCCCCCUCUUUCGCAACAUCUUCCUGCCGUCACUGCGCCUCAACGAGAACACCGCAUGCUGGCUCGUCAACAUGGCGGCUUUCGAGGCAAUCACUGCUUUAUUCGAGCGUGACUACAUUGUCAGCUCGUACCUGUCCCUCUUCGCCAUGUUCAUGGAUCGAGAAGAAGACGUGCACAAGCUGCGAGCUAAGCGUCUCAUCCAUGGCGAGUUCACCAACAGGCAGACGCUCGACUUCUUCAAGGGUCGCCAUGCCGGCAAUCUGCUCGCAGGCGACGACUUCUACCGCAUCUUACGACGGCUUGAGAGGUACAAGCAGAGACGGUGGCUGUGGAUCGCCAUCCAUAAGUUCGUCUACAAAAACAUAAAGAUCAUCGUCGCGGUGCUGUCCAUCAUCGGCGUGCUCGCAGGAAUCUUCAAGGCCUUACUUUCUGUCAAGCAACACUAG
Molecule: ribosomal RNA, 1548 nt
Filed under: Triticum aestivum (bread wheat)
Lineage: Eukaryota; Viridiplantae; Streptophyta; Magnoliopsida; Poales; Poaceae
Description: partial small subunit ribosomal RNA
Source: RNAcentral